Non-coding RNA from Mycena rosella, 90 nucleotides. Lineage: Eukaryota; Fungi; Basidiomycota; Agaricomycetes; Agaricales; Mycenaceae. The record is from the annotation of a GenBank genome assembly.
UCGGACGUGGUGCACGAUGUACGCCUGCUUUUAAUGUUGUGUCUCGCGCGGUUGAUGCAGGAAGUCUGGGUUUGACUCCCAGCGUCCGAA